This 312-nucleotide ribosomal RNA is filed under the name Rhipicephalus linnaei. Its description in RNAcentral is "Rhipicephalus sanguineus sensu lato 'tropical lineage' partial 16S ribosomal RNA". Lineage: Eukaryota; Metazoa; Arthropoda; Arachnida; Ixodida; Ixodidae. The record is from RNAcentral.
UUUUUAAAUUGCUGUGGUAUUUUGACUAUACAAAGGUAUUGAAAUAAGAUUUUAAUUGAAUGCUAAGAGAAUGGAAGUCCAGAAAAAAACUUUUUUUAAAUUAAAAAUUGAAGUUUUUUUAAUUUGUGCAGAAACAAUUAUUUAUAUUAAAGACAAGAAGACCCUAUGAAUUUAUUAAAUUUUUAUUUAAUAUGUAAUUACUAUUAGAAAAAUUUUGGCUGGGGCGGCUAGAAAAUAUUAUAAACUUUUUAAAAAUAAAAUGAUCCAUUAUUAAUGAUUUUAUGUUAAAUACUCUAGGGAAAACAGCGUAAA